Molecule: ribosomal RNA, 460 nt
Filed under: uncultured bacterium
Lineage: Bacteria
Description: partial 16S ribosomal RNA
Rfam family: Bacterial small subunit ribosomal RNA
Source: RNAcentral
CCUACGGGAGACAGCAGUGAGGAAUAUUGGUCAAUGGACGAGAGUCUGAACCAGCCAAGUAGCGUGAAGGAUGACUGCCCUAUGGGUUGUAAACUUCUUUUAUAUGGGAAUAAAACGUUCCACGUGUGGGAUUUUGUAUGUACCAUAUGAAUAAGGAUCGGCUAACUCCGUGCCAGCAGCCGCGGUAAUACGGAGGAUCCGAGCGUUAUCCGGAUUUAUUGGGUUUAAAGGGAGCGUAGGUGGAUUGUUAAGUCAGUUGUGAAAGUUUGCGGCUCAACCGUAAAAUUGCAGUUGAAACUGGCAGUCUUGAGUACAGUAGAGGUGGGCGGAAUUCGUGGUGUAGCGGUGAAAUGCUUAGAUAUCACGAAGAACUCCGAUUGCGAAGGCAGUUCACUGGACUGCAACUGACACUGAGGCUCUAAAGUGUGGGUAUCAAACAGGAUUAGAUACCCGGGUAGUC